GACGAACGCUGGCGGCGUGCCUAAUACAUGCAAGUCGAACGCACAGUUUAUACCGUAGCUUGCUACACCAUAGACUGUGAGUUGCGAACGGGUGAGUAACGCGUAGGUAACCUGCCUGGUAGCGGGGGAUAACUAUUGGAAACGAUAGCUAAUACCGCAUAAUAUUGAUUAUUGCAUGAUAAUUGAUUGAAAGAUGCUAUUGCAUCACUACCAGAUGGACCUGCGUUGUAUUAGCUAGUAGGUGAGGUAACGGCUCACCUAGGCGACGAUACAUAGCCGACCUGAGAGGGUGAUCGGCCACACUGGGACUGAGACACGGCCCAGACUCCUACGGGAGGCAGCAGUAGGGAAUCUUCGGCAAUGGACGAAAGUCUGACCGAGCAACGCCGCGUGAGUGAAGAAGGGUGUCGGAUCGUAAAGCUCUGUUGUAAGAGAGGAACGGGUGUGAGAGUGGAAAGUUCACACUGUGACGGUAUCUUACCAGAAAGGGACGGCUAACUACGUG
Molecule: ribosomal RNA, 505 nt
Filed under: uncultured bacterium
Lineage: Bacteria
Description: partial 16S ribosomal RNA
Rfam family: Bacterial small subunit ribosomal RNA
Source: RNAcentral